Molecule: ribosomal RNA, 413 nt
Filed under: uncultured microorganism
Description: bacterial SSU rRNA
Rfam family: Archaeal small subunit ribosomal RNA
Source: RNAcentral
GUGCACCAGGCGAGAAACUUCACAAUGUGCGAAAGCACGAUGAGGGAAUCCCAAGUGCUUGCACGUAAGUGUAAGCUGUUUCUCUGUCUAAAACGCAGAGAGAGUAAGGGCUGGGUAAGACGGGUGCCAGCCGCCGCGGUAAUACCUGCAGCUCGAGUGGUGACCGUUAUUAUUGGGCCUAAAACGUCCGUAGCCGGUUUAAUAAAUGCCUGGGUAAAUCGGACCGCUUAACGGUUCGAAUUCCGGGUAGACUGUUAAACUUGAGACCGGGAGAAGUUAGAGGUACUCCUGGGGUAGAGGUGAAAUUCUGUAAUCCUAGGGGGACCACCAGUGGCGAAGGCGUCUAACUAGAACGGGUCUGACGGUGAGGGACGAAGCCCUGGGGCGCAAACGGGAUUAGAUACCCCCGUAGU